CCUACGGGAGGCUUCAGUGAGGAAUAUUGGUCAAUGGGCGCUAGCCUGAACCAGCCAAGUAGCGUGAAGGAUGACUGCCCUAUGGGUUGUAAACUUCUUUUAUAUGGGAAUAAAGUGCAGUAUGUAUACUGCUUUGCAUGUACCUUAUGAAUAAGGAUCGGCUAACUCCGUGCCAGCAGCCGCGGUAAUACGGAGGAUCCGAGCGUUAUCCGGAUUUAUUGGGUUUAAAGGGAGCGUAGGCGGGUUGUUAAGUCAGUUGUGAAAGUUUGCGGCUCAACCGUAAAAUUGCAGUUGAUACUGGCAGCCUUGAGUACAGUAGAGGUAGGCGGAAUUCGUGGUGUAGCGGUGAAAUGCUUAGAUAUCACGAAGAACUCCGAUUGCGAAGGCAGCCUGCUGGACUGUAACUGACGCUGAUGCUCGAAAGUGUGGGUAUCAAACAGGAUUAGAUACCCUAGUAGUC
Molecule: ribosomal RNA, 460 nt
Filed under: uncultured bacterium
Lineage: Bacteria
Description: partial 16S ribosomal RNA
Rfam family: Bacterial small subunit ribosomal RNA
Source: RNAcentral